GCUCUCUGAAUGUUGAAGGUGCUUUUGGAAAAUAUAACCUCUACAUUCAUCUAGAGCGCCUCAUCAUUUGUUCUACUACUACCAAGCCUCUAAUACCUGAUCACUGGCUUUGGAUUUGAUUCAACAUAGAGACAUUUACACAUAUACCACUUCACAGCAAACGUGAAUGAAAGUAUGUCGGGAGAUAAGAGCGAUAACCGCCGCGAACUUGGAACAAAACGCAGGCUCAACCAUGUUGCAAGUUCUGAAACCGUCGCUACAGAGAGGUGGCCUAUGUAGAAAAUAUAAAGGACUCGCCGGUUUCAAGCGGGUGAGAUACAAAUGUCGAACGUAACAGCAGAGCCCGCAUUCUGAGCUCGGCUACGAAAGCAAACACGUA
Molecule: long non-coding RNA, 379 nt
Organism: Photinus pyralis (common eastern firefly)
Lineage: Eukaryota; Metazoa; Arthropoda; Insecta; Coleoptera; Lampyridae
Exons: 2
Source: RefSeq, a predicted model, not a curated record